RNAcentral lists this ribosomal RNA (457 nucleotides) under uncultured bacterium. RNAcentral describes it as "partial 16S ribosomal RNA". It matches the Rfam family "Bacterial small subunit ribosomal RNA", at positions 338 to 795 of the family's 1533-position model. The record is from RNAcentral.
CCUACGGGUGGCAGCAGUGGGGAAUAUUGCACAAUGGGCGAAACCCUGAUCCAGCGACGCCGCGUGAGUGAAGAAGUCUUUCGGUAUGUAAAACUCUAUCAGCAGGGAAGAAAUAAAGUCCAUCGGACUUUGCACGGUACCUGACUAAGAAGCCCCGGCUAACUACGUGCCAGCAGCCGCGGUAAUACGUAGGGGGCAAGCGUUAUCCGGAUUUACUGGGUGUAAAGGGAGGGUAGGCGGCAGCGCAAGUCUGGAGUGAAAUCCCAUGGCUUAACCAUGGAACUGCUUGUGAAACUGUGGAGCUAGAGUGCAGGAGAGGUAAGCGGAAUUAGUAGUGUAGCGGUGAAAUGCGUAGAUAUUAGGAAGAACACCAGUGGCGAAGGCAGCUUACUGGACUGUAACUGACGUUGAGGCACGAAAGCGUGGGGAGCAAACAGGAUUAGAUACCCCAGUAGUC